UACGGAGAUGGCAAGCGUUGUUCGGAAUCACUGGGCGUAAAGCGCGCGGUAGGCGGUCAGGUAAGUUGGGUGUGGAAUCGUUCGGCUCAACCGGACAGAGCCAUUCAAUACUGCCCGACUAGAGCACGGUAGGGGGGAGUGGAACUCCUGGUGGAGUGGUGAAAUGCGUAGAUAUCAGGAGGAACGCCGGCGGCGAAGGCGACUCCCUGGGCCGUUGCUGACGCUGAGGUGCGAAAGCUAGGGGAGCGAACGGGAUUAGAUACCCUCGUA
RNAcentral lists this ribosomal RNA (270 nucleotides) under uncultured prokaryote. Its description in RNAcentral is "partial 16S ribosomal RNA". It matches the Rfam family "Bacterial small subunit ribosomal RNA", at positions 524 to 792 of the family's 1533-position model. The record is from RNAcentral.